UACCAGCUCUUCGAGUGGUGUGGAUGUUUAUUGGGCCUAGAGCAUCCGUAGCUGGCUGGGCAAGUCCCCUGUUAAAUCCACCGAUUUAAUCGUUGGAGUGCGGGGGAUACUGUUCGGCUAGGGGACGGGAGAGGCAGACGGUAUUUUCGGGGUAGGGGUGAAAUCCUAUAAUCCCGGGAAGACCACCAGUGGCGAAGGCUGUCUGCUAGAACGCGCCCGACGGUGAGGGAUGAAGGCUGGGGGAGCGAACCGGAUUAGAUACCCGGGUAGUCCCAGCUGUAAACGAUGCAGGCUAGGUGUUUGGGCGGCCACGUGCCGCUCUAGUGCCGCAGGGAAGCCGUUAAGCCUGCCGCCUGGGGAGUACGGCCGCAAGGCUGAAACUUAAAGGAAUUGGCGGGGGAGCACCACAAGGGGUGAAGCUUGCGGUUU
Molecule: ribosomal RNA, 429 nt
Filed under: uncultured archaeon
Lineage: Archaea
Description: bacterial SSU rRNA
Rfam family: Archaeal small subunit ribosomal RNA
Source: RNAcentral